AUUGAACGCUGGCGGCAGGCCUAACACAUGCCAGUCGAGCGGAUGAAGGGAGCUUGCUCCUGGAUUCAGCGGCGGACGGGUGAGUAAUGCCUAGGAAUCUGCCUGGUAGUGGGGGAUAACGUCCGGAAACGGGCGCUAAUACCGCAUACGUCCUGAGGGAGAAAGUGGGGGAUCUUCGGACCUCACGCUAUCAGAUGAGCCUAGGUCGGAUUAGCUAGUUGGUGGGGUAAAGGCCUACCAAGGCGACGAUCCGUAACUGGUCUGAGAGGAUGAUCAGUCACACUGGAACUGAGACACGGUCCAGACUCCUACGGGAGGCAGCAGUGGGGAAUAUUGGACAAUGGGCGAAAGCCUGAUCCAGCCAUGCCGCGUGUGUGAAGAAGGUCUUCGGAUUGUAAAACACUUUAAGUUGGGAGGAAGGGCAGUAAGUUAAUACCUUGCUGUUUUGACGUUACCAACAGAAUAAGCACCGGCUAACUUCGUG
RNAcentral lists this ribosomal RNA (484 nucleotides) under uncultured bacterium. RNAcentral describes it as "partial 16S ribosomal RNA". It matches the Rfam family "Bacterial small subunit ribosomal RNA", at positions 30 to 507 of the family's 1533-position model. The record is from RNAcentral.